Long non-coding RNA from Gigantopelta aegis, 611 nucleotides. RefSeq lists it as uncharacterized. The transcript is spliced from 3 exons. Lineage: Eukaryota; Metazoa; Mollusca; Gastropoda; Neomphalida; Peltospiridae. The record is from RefSeq and is a predicted model, not a curated record.
GGAUUUUAUUUGAUAUAGUACAACCUAUAAAGACUGCGCUGAGGUGUAGCAGUUGAUUAAACAUUGCAUUGCUUUAUUUUCACAGGGGUUGGGACCACCCGUGGAUUGGACUGUACAGAUCCUCCUCUUCUGCAGACGGCUUCAACUGGUCAGACAAUCAGUGUUCGAGCCAGACGCUCACCGGCUGGACUAACUUUCGAAACGGCCAUGAAUCGUAUGAUUCUAAUAAGCUAUGCUUCCGGUUGCAAAAGGAUCAGUACAUAUGGGAGAUACGCGAGUGUUCAACGCGCAACAGAAUUAUAUGUGAAAAGCAUAUCCCCGCCAGUAACUGUAACUACACAAACACAGGCACACGCAUUAGUUUUGCAGAAGUGUCGUCUGCCACAGCAAGCUGGUGCCAGAAUUAUUGUAUGACAGUACAGGGAUGCGUGAUGGCCGCCGCCGCUAGGGCUGAUAACUGUGCACUGGCGAUCUCAUCGACAAACUCUAGCACUCAACUAUACUACAAAGACUGUCAAGUCUCCGGUUCUUGGAACAAUUCAGACACCAAUUCGUAUCAAGGUGCGGAUGACCUCAGUAACACGCCCACUCCGUGUCAGCCUGGAGAGAAU